Molecule: ribosomal RNA, 630 nt
Filed under: Triticum aestivum (bread wheat)
Lineage: Eukaryota; Viridiplantae; Streptophyta; Magnoliopsida; Poales; Poaceae
Description: partial small subunit ribosomal RNA
Source: RNAcentral
AUGAUUCGGGAACAUGUUUCCACUUUUCUGCAUGAUAAUCUUGGUAAGCCCAUUGUCUGCUUAGGUGAUUUAAACAACAUCAUGUGUGAUGGGGAUACCACCCCUGCCAAUGUUUAUCACUAUCGUAUGCGUACCUUUAAUGGCUACGUUAAACAAUGUGGUCUCUUUGAUCUUGGUUUUAGUGGGCCUAACUAUACUUGGACAAACAAGCGUUUCUCUUCAACCCCUGUGUUUGAAAGGCUUGACCGCUGUCCUGCAAAUGCCGAAUGGUGUGAUGUGUUUCCUAAUACAAAUGUUUUUAAUCUUCCAAUUAUUCUUAGUGAUCAUGCGCCCAUUCUUGUUUCCACCGAGUCUCAAUUUCUUAGGUCACUCAAUUUUAAAUUUGAAAACUGGCGGACCAUGGAAGAAGACUUCCAAAAUGUCACAAAAUCUGCUUGGUGCUCCUCUAUUAAUCAAUAUUUCUGGUCUAGGACAACUAACCUUGUAGGCACUCUUAAGAAAUGGUGCAAAAAGAAAAAAACCAAUCCAGCAAUAGCUAGCUACACUUCAAGAUCAAAUAAAUGCGAUCCAAAAUCAACCGAUUCAAGACCAAGACCAUUGCUUGGAGGUAAAACUUGUUGCUCAAUAUGA